GUUGUAUGGUUAAGUGACUAAGCGUACACGGUGGAUGCCUUGGCAGUCAGAGGCGAUGAAAGACGUAGUAACUUGCGAUAAGCCCAGAUUAGGUAGUAACAACCAUUUGAGUCUGGGAUUUCUGAAUGGGGAAACCCACGUGCAUAAGCACGUAUCCUUACCUGAAUACAUAGGGUAAGGAGGCGAACCGGGGGAACUGAAACAUCUAAGUACCCCGAGGAAAAGAAAUCAACCGAGAUUCCGAAAGUAGCGGCGAGCGAAAUUGGACUAGCCCUUAAGCUUUACACGCGUUAGACGAACGGUCUGGAAAGUCCGACGAUACAGGGUGAUAGUCCCGUAGUUGACGACGUGUGUUCAGUGAAAUCGAGUAGGGCGGGACACGUGAUAUCCUGUCUGAAUAUGGGGGGACCAUCCUCCAAGGCUAAAUACUACUGACUGACCGAUAGUGAACCAGUACCGUGAGGGAAAGGCGAAAAGAACCCCUGUGAGGGGAGUGAAAUAGAACCUGAAACCGUGUACGUACAAGCAGUAGGAGCAGGCUUGUCCUGUGACUGCGUACCUUUUGUAUAAUGGGUCAGCGACUUAUAUUCAGUGGCAAGGUUAACCAUCUAGGGGAGCCGUAGGGAAACCGAGUCUUAACUGGGCGUUCAGUCUCUGGAUAUAGACCCGAAACCAGGUGAUCUAGCCAUGGGCAGGUUGAAGGUUGAGUAACAUCAACUGGAGGACCGAACCGACUAAUGUUGAAAAAUUAGCGGAUGACUUGUGGCUAGGGGUGAAAGGCCAAUCAAACCUGGAGAUAGCUGGUUCUCCCCGAAAGCUAUUUAGGUAGCGCCUCGGACGAAUACUACUGGGGGUAGAGCACUGUUAAGGCUAGGGGGUCAUCCCGACUUACCAACCCUUUGCAAACUCCGAAUACCAGUAAGUACUAUCCGGGAGACACACGGCGGGUGCUAACGUCCGUCGUGGAGAGGGAAACAACCCAGACCGCCAGCUAAGGUCCCAAAUUACUACUAAGUGGGAAACGAUGUGGGAAGGCUCAGACAGCCAGGAUGUUGGCUUAGAAGCAGCCAUCAUUUAAAGAAAGCGUAAUAGCUCACUGGUCGAGUCGGCCUGCGCGGAAGAUGUAACGGGGCUAAGUAGUAAACCGAAGCUGCGGCAAUAUACUUUUGUAUAUUGGGUAGGGGAGCGUUCUGUAAGCGGUUGAAGGUGUGUGGUAACGCAUGCUGGACGUAUCAGAAGUGCGAAUGCUGACAUGAGUAACGAUAAAGGGGGUGAAAAACCUCCUCGCCGGAAGACCAAGGGUUCCUGUCCAACGUUAAUCGGGGCAGGGUAAGUCGACCCCUAAGGCGAGGCCGAAAGGCGUAGUCGAUGGGAAACGGGUUAAUAUUCCCGUACUUCUUACAAUUGCGAUGGGGGGACGGAGAAGGCUAGGUGGGCCUGGCGACGGUUGUCCAGGUUCAAGUGCGUAGGCUUAAGAGUUAGGUAAAUCCGGCUCUUUUUAAG
This 1503-nucleotide ribosomal RNA is filed under the name Vibrio parahaemolyticus. RNAcentral's name for it is "partial 23S ribosomal RNA". It matches the Rfam family "Bacterial large subunit ribosomal RNA", at positions 1 to 1555 of the family's 2925-position model. Lineage: Bacteria; Pseudomonadati; Pseudomonadota; Gammaproteobacteria; Vibrionales; Vibrionaceae. The record is from RNAcentral.